CUGGACUUGGACACAACAAAGUAGUUGAGAUGUAUGCAAAUUUUUAGGAUGUUGUAAUUUCAAUGGAGCUUUCCUUUCAGUCAAUUGUAACACAUUUACUCCUAAAGCAGGUCUUAAGAUAAUACAGUCGUACAUGGAAGGUUAUCGACAAGACUGGAAACUUUCAUCUGAAAAGGACACUGUGUCCAGAGGUGGCUGGCAGCAAGGUGGAAUUAUAGUUGCUGGUCCUGGUAAAACAAAUAUCUCAUACAUCCAUAAGGAUAAAGAAGCAGGAGAUGAUCCAGAUAUUGAAGACAUAUUGAAAGCUUGUUGCUCGUGAAGGAAAUGGCACAUUCUUUUAGUGGCGGCUUUAGGAUUUAGGAUCAAUGAUCCAGUUAUACCUAGUUGCUUCUUGCUCAUCGAGGUCUAAGAAUUGAGCUAUAAAGUCAAUGUCCAUGAUUAUUUAUCAAUGUGAAAUAAUUUAGCCACAUCAUUGGUUUUUUUAUAAGGUUGAGUUUAUAAUAGCUGCAAUUAGGGGUGAAAUUUAUAAUAG
Molecule: unclassified non-coding RNA, 532 nt
Filed under: Hevea brasiliensis (rubber tree)
Lineage: Eukaryota; Viridiplantae; Streptophyta; Magnoliopsida; Malpighiales; Euphorbiaceae
Source: RNAcentral